Molecule: long non-coding RNA, 734 nt
Filed under: Homo sapiens (human)
Lineage: Eukaryota; Metazoa; Chordata; Mammalia; Primates; Hominidae
Description: non-protein coding lnc-SPDYA-3:1
Source: RNAcentral
AGGUCAAGCUAGGGCGCGGGAGCAGCGGAGUCCUGGUUGAGUGACCAUCCAAGGAAUAUGUCCUCGCGCGCGGCCGCCGUUUUCCUUUUCGGAAUGUGGGUAAAGAAUUUACCGCUAACAGACGACCUCCAGGUUCGCUCUUGGACAGCAAGAUUGAGAGACAAAACUUAACAAAGCGCUGUGCAAACUGAAAUCCCAGGCUUAGCUCGCUUGUGUCUUGAACACGGAAGUCACCUAGUCACCCACAAGAUGUAUGAGUACAGCUAACCCCCAGAUGCAUUUGACAGACGGCGUGGGACGCGCCACUUGCUGAUUGGCUCUCCUUUCCCAGUUGACCGCGACAUCCCCCAGCCCCAACUCCCUUUUGAUGGGGCUGUGACCACCUGCCGGUCCCCUCACCCACCCCUCACGCCCGGAGAGUCCGAGGUUGAUUCGAGUACUCACUAUGUGCUUAUGUAACACAUGUUUUCAUUAUUAAAAUAUAACUAGUUUACCCUCCCAAAACGAAAUAGAAGUGUCUUAAAAUGGAAACAGGUAUCUUUGGAGGCCAGAGUUAUUUAGCGUUAAAUAUCACUAGCCUCCCAGCAUUUUGGGAAGCCGACCGAGGCAAGCGGCUCAUUUGAGGUCAGGAGUUCGGGACCAGCCUGGCAAAUGUGGUGAAACCCCGUCUCUACUAAAAAUACAAAAAUUAGCUGGGCGUGGAGGCACGCACCUGUAAUCCCAGCUACUCGGGA